CUCACCCCUUUGUGCAUCACCGCGUGGGUCCCCCUUGCGGGAGGGCUCGCGUUUUCACAUAAAACUCGAUACAGUGUAGAAUGUUCUUUUGCGAUCACACGCAAUCAAUACAACUUUCAACAACGGAUCUCUUGGCUCUCGCAUCGAUGAAGAACGCAGCGAAAUGCGAUACGUAAUGUGAAUUGCAGAAUUCAGUGAAUCAUCGAAUCUUUGAACGCACCUUGCGCCCCUUGGCAUUCCGAGGGGCACACCCGUUUGAGUGUCGUGAAAUCCUCAAAAA
Molecule: unclassified non-coding RNA, 280 nt
Filed under: uncultured fungus
Lineage: Eukaryota; Fungi
Description: sequence contains ITS1, 5.8S rRNA gene, ITS2
Rfam family: 5.8S ribosomal RNA (bases 112-265)
About the family: 5.8S ribosomal RNA (5.8S rRNA) is a component of the large subunit of the eukaryotic ribosome. It is transcribed by RNA polymerase I as part of the 45S precursor that also contains 18S and 28S rRNA.
Source: RNAcentral